AGAGUUUGAUCCUGGCUCAGAAUGAACGUUGGCGGCGUGGAUUAGGCAUGCAAGUCGAACGAGUCUCUGGGGGGUAACUCCUAGAGGAAAGUGGCGAAAGGGGCAGUAAUGUAUGGGUAACCUACCUUGAGGUCUGGGAUAGCCAUUCUAACGGAUGGGUAAUACUGGACGGCCUGAGUUGUCGGCAUCGAUGAUUUAGUAAAGGUUACGCCUCGAGAGGGGCCCAUAUGAUAUUAGCUAGUUGGUGAGGUAAUGGCUCACCAAGGCAAAGAUGUCUAGCGGGUGUGAGAGCACGACCCGCGUCACUGGCACUGAGACACUGGCCAGACUCCUACGGGAGGCUGCAGUCGAGGAUCUUCGGCAAUGGACGAAAGUCUGACCGAGCAACGCCGCGUGUGCGAUGAAGGCCUUCGGGUUGUAAAGCACUGUCGAGGGGAAACAAGCCGUAAGGUUGAGUGACCCCUGGAGGAAGCACGGGCUAAGUUCGUGCCAGCAGCCGCGGUAAGACGAACCGUGCAAACGUUAUUCGGAAUCACUGGGCUUAAAGGGCGCGUAGGCGGGUAAUCAAGUCAAUGGUGAAAGCCUCCAGCUUAACUGGAGAAGUGCCUUUGAUACUGAUUGUCUAGAGUGAGGUAGGGGCAUGUGGAACUUCCGGUGGAGCGGUGAAAUGCGUAGAUAUCGGAAGGAACGCCAGUGGCGAAAGCGAUGUGCUGGACCUUUUCUGACGCUGAGGCGCGAAAGCUAGGGGAUCAAACGGGAUUAGAUACCCUGGUAGUCC
Molecule: ribosomal RNA, 778 nt
Filed under: uncultured bacterium
Lineage: Bacteria
Description: bacterial SSU rRNA
Rfam family: Bacterial small subunit ribosomal RNA
Source: RNAcentral